GCUCCGUUGGUGAACCAGCGGAGGGAUCAUUACCGAGUUAUUCAACUCCCAAACCCCUGUGAACUUAUACCUUUACUGUUGCUUCGGCGGGUUAACGCCCCGGAAGGCCCGCGAGGGCCGCCGGAACCAGGCGCCCGCCGGGGGACCCAAACUCUUGUAUCUUUUUUAUAGCAUGUCUGAGUGGAAUCAUAAACAAAUGAAUCAAAACUUUCAACAACGGAUCUCUUGGUUCUG
Molecule: unclassified non-coding RNA, 234 nt
Filed under: plant metagenome
Description: partial contains small subunit ribosomal RNA, internal transcribed spacer 1, and 5.8S ribosomal RNA
Source: RNAcentral